GAAAUGCGAUAAGUAAUGUGAAUUGCAGAAUUCAGUGAAUCAUCGAAUCUUUGAACGCACAUUGCGCCCCCUGGUAUUCCGGGGGGCAUGCCUGUUCGAGCGUCAUUUCACCACUCAAGCCUCGCUUGGUAUUGGGCAACGCGGUCCGCCGCGUGCCUCAAAUCGACCGGCUGGGUCUUCUGUCCCCUAAGCGUUGUGGAAACUAUUCGCUAAAGGGUGCUCGGGAGGCUACGCCGUAAAACAACCCCAUUUCUAAGGUUGGCCUCGGAUCAGGUAGGGAUACCCGCUGAACUUAAGC
RNAcentral lists this unclassified non-coding RNA (298 nucleotides) under plant metagenome. RNAcentral describes it as "partial contains 5.8S ribosomal RNA, internal transcribed spacer 2, and large subunit ribosomal RNA". The stretch from base 1 to 105 matches the Rfam family "5.8S ribosomal RNA", at positions 50 to 154 of the family's 154-position model. The record is from RNAcentral.